This 253-nucleotide ribosomal RNA is filed under the name uncultured bacterium. Its description in RNAcentral is "partial 16S ribosomal RNA". It matches the Rfam family "Bacterial small subunit ribosomal RNA", at positions 524 to 776 of the family's 1533-position model. The record is from RNAcentral.
UACGUAGGGGGCAAGCGUUGUCCGGAUUCAUUGGGCGUAAAGGGUGCGUAGGCGGCGCGGUAAGUCGGGUGUGAAAUCUCGGAGCUUAACUCCGAAACUGCAUUCGAUACUGCCGUGCUUGAGGACUGGAGAGGAGACUGGAAUUUACGGUGUAGCGGUGAAAUGCGUAGAUAUCGUAAGGAAGACCAGUGGCGAAGGCGGGUCUCUGGACAGUUCCUGACGCUGAGGCCCGAAGGUCAGGGGAGCAAACGGG